This is a long non-coding RNA of Homo sapiens (human), 636 nucleotides long. NCBI's taxonomy places the organism in Eukaryota, Metazoa, Chordata, Mammalia, Primates, Hominidae. The record is from Ensembl.
GUAGAAAGUGGCAGGCUGGAGUUAUGCGGCUCACUUUCUAGCCAGAAGGAGGGAGACUGAAUGGAGGCACAUUGAAGAUGCCUGCUUCCUCUUCCACCGUGAUUGGACGUUUCCUGAGGCCUCCUCAGCCAUGUGAAACUUUGGCUAGUUUCAAGUUUGGCGUUAUUUUGAAGAGUACUGCUAUGAACAUUCUAGUGCAUGUCUUUUUGGAGUAUACAUGUUUGCAUUUCUGUUGGGAAUGUCAAGUCAAAACGUGCACCAGAUAAAGUUAAACAGGCUGGAAUAAGGAUGGGAUGCUGGUGAGUUAGCUUUGACAAUGCCGAAUAGAAAAACACUCUAAGGGAUCUGGAUGCUGGAUGAACUCACUGGAGCAUUACUGCCUGUUUGCCCUGUUUCUUCUCACCUGUCUCUUCCAAUGCUAAGCCAUAUGCAAGCCUCUUCUAAACUCAGGUUCCACUGGCUGAAAGAUGACAAAGGGAGGAUGUAGAGCAAUUCUGAAAAGCUGAGUAUUUUCUCCAACGAAACUACAUUAACCUGGAAGAGACUAGGUUAUAUUGAAUCUAAAAUGGUGGUGUUAUUCAUCCACUUCGUAUCAGAAAUGGAGGUCCCUGAUGAAAUUAUAGUCAGUACAAACAU